Molecule: long non-coding RNA, 2942 nt
Filed under: Homo sapiens (human)
Lineage: Eukaryota; Metazoa; Chordata; Mammalia; Primates; Hominidae
Description: HSALNT0220487
Source: RNAcentral
UUUGGGCACACAGGCCUGAUACAUACACAUAGGCUUCUGGGCACAUAGGCCUGACACAUAAGCCUUAUACAUAGGCUCUGGGCACACAAGCCCAUCACAUACAUAAGCUUCAAUAAACUGCUCGGCUGUUGGCACAGAUUACCAUAGGUGUUGCAACAUUGGUGAUUACUGUUCACAUUGCCCUGAGUGCAGCUCAUUAGCUACUUUGCCUACACCUGGUUUUAACCCAUAUGGUGUUAGUACUAGGCUGGACUGUGGCAGCAAUCCAGGCAGCAGUAGCUCCCUGCCUACACAUAUCUGUGUACCAAGCCCUAUUAGGAAUGGGAGAAUGCCCUUCCUAAUGAUGAAGGCUUAGGGUUUAGGGGUGCCUCAGGCCCCAUGGCCUUACUUGGCAUUAGGACUACAGGUCCCAAGACUUCCUGUAACUCUACUGCUAAGGGACUUGUAAUCAGUGUACUUUACUGCUGUAAGUAGGCUCCCCACUUUGCUAAAGUGGAUGUCUGUGCUGUCCCAGUCGAUGGGGUCAUUACCCACGAGUGUACCCACCCCACUGUUGGGAAAGUUGUCUGCCUGAUGAUUGUAGCCAUUCCUGCCAUGCUCUUAUGAGCCUGAAGGGCAGUAUAUACAGUUACUAACUGCUUUCCCUGUCCAGGGGGUGGUUAUCCAUGAACACACCCAUCCUAUUAUUACUAACUGCUUCUGUAUCAAGGAAUACUGGAGCUCAGCUCCCUUGCAUAAUUGGGACCAAAAGCCUACUGGCAUACUCAGGCACUCAUGCACUGCCAUAGGCCCUAACUGAAACUAUCUGUGGUCACAUGCACAUCUAGCUUAAAUGGGCACCUCUGGUCAACUACCCAUAGGGCUUGUGCUUGCUGAAUAGCCUACUUGGCUACCAGGAAGGCUGUCUCAGCUGCAUCAUCCCAAUCCCAGGCAAGAAGGGCAUUGCUGCUUCUAAACCUGCAAGAGAAUCAGAAGUGAAUAUAACAUUAUUAACAAGACCAUGACAUAUGGUGGGGCUAUGCAUAUAAGCCCUGAAGCAACACUGUGAAAGUCCGUCGUCACCCUCCCAUGAAGGCAAACUGUUCCUGGCUCUCUGGAGCAAUGUCAAUGGAGAAGAAUGCAUUAGCCAAGUCCCAUCACAAAGUGGUACUGUCCCAGUUCCAUUGUCAAACAGCCAUCAAGUCUAUGAUGGAAGGUCCAGCUGCAUGCAGAGGGGAUGUUGCUUUAUUCAGUUCCUGAUAAUCCACUGUCAUCUGCCAAGUUCCAUCAGGCUUUUUGACUGGUUAUACUAGAGAAUCAUAGGGGUUAUGGGUGCACCUCCUCUAACUUCUUAUUAGUCUCAGUUAUCUCUGUGUGCUCCCCCGCCGCCCCCCAGUAAACGGUAUUGAUGAGUGGAAGUAAGUUGUUGGGGUUGUGGCAGAACUUGGGGCUGGUGAUGUGUAUGGAGUACUGGCUUUACUACACGAACCAGGAUUCCAAAUUCUCUGGCUGUGGUGUGUAAGUCCAGAUCAUGCAAAAUGUCCACCCCCAGAAUAUAUUCAUGUAUAGGAGAAACAUACAGAGUGUACAGGUGGAUAGCAGAGUAGCCAAUGCCAAUAUAGAUUCACCAUCACAGAUUGGCCCCCAUAACUGUCAAUGAAUGCAGCUUUUCCCAGAAACUUAUCCAGGUUCCCAUAAACUAGACUGCAGUCUGCACCAGUGUCUACCAGUGCUAGGGCCCGCUGUACAUUAGUAGGGGACCAGAGGAUUGCCAGCUCCUCAUAUAGCCUCCAGUUGUCCAGUUCCCCUGAGUUGGGCAACUCAGCCAGUUCCCUAAUCAAACAGGAAAGGCCUAAUGUCUUCUCCCAUCUGCAAAUAGUCCUUGAGCUGAAAAGUUUCCAGGUGGGGCUGGGUUGAACAACAUUGUCUUGCCCCUCCUUGGGCAUUCUUCAGAAUUGCAGCUCUGGGGACGAUUGCCUCCACAGAGCCAACAGCAUUCCAUUGGGUUGCCUGUCAAUUUUCUCUCUAGUAACCCCAGCUGCAAGUAAAUCAAUCCACAUCCGCAUGUGGGUCACCCGCCUGGGCCCCUUUUAAUCUCGUGGAUGGUUACUUGUGAAGGGUGCACCUUCCAUUUCUUUACGGCGUGGACUCCCAGGUCCCGCCAAUGGCCUUCUGCCUCCCCAAGGGCUGCCAUAGCAAUAGUCACUUUGUGUAUGCGGUGUCCUACAUACGGGGUGAGAACAGCAGCUAGAGGGCCAAAGCAUCCGGGGGUGCUGAACUCAGCACAAGAUCCCUCAUAGGGGAGGUAAAGCGUUCAUCAUCUGGCCCCAGAUAUUCUGAUCAAACAGCCUGCUGCAUAUUGCAUAUCCGUCUCCCGGAGCACCUGCACCAAAUCAGUAUAUGAUUGCCAUUUACUCACAGUUUCUGGGGUCUCUCUGGCAUCAUUCCAAACAGUCCGUAUGGCUGCCGUCAGCCACUUGAUUUACAUGUAGUCACUUUGCCCUUGUGUUAACCGUUGGCACAGCUGCAGCCGCCGAUGAAGGGAAGGGUGAGUUGUGAUAGAAGCCAGAUUCUCCAUCUCAGAGGCGGAGCAAGAAAUGCUAUCAGCUCCUUCAGACGCUGCCAGACUGUUUACCUACUUCCCUCAAAUCAGUGGGGGUAUAAGCACUAUAAGAGCUUUGGCCAUUGAAAGCUCUUUUUGUUGGCUCCUGUGACCCUUUGACAUAUCCCUAUCAAGUUGCAGAAAUAAACACCCUUGUUCCAAGUCUGUCUGCAUCUGGUUAUUGGACCACGAGAACAAGCAGCUGGACCUCAUUCUGUGCAGGAAAAUGAGCACAUAGCAAGAAGGUGGCUGUCUACAAGCCAGGAAUAGAGCCCUUUCCAGAAUUCGAUCAUGCUGCCACUCUGAUCUUGGACUUCUAGCCUCCAAAACUGUGAAAAAUAAAUUUCUGUUGUUUAAGCUA